This 1030-nucleotide ribosomal RNA is filed under the name marine metagenome. RNAcentral describes it as "bacterial SSU rRNA". It matches the Rfam family "Archaeal small subunit ribosomal RNA", at positions 1 to 1036 of the family's 1478-position model. The record is from RNAcentral.
UUCGGUUGAUCCUGCCGAAGGCUACUGCUAUUGGAGUUCGAUUAAGCCAUGCGAGUCUAAGGGGUACUUGUACCCCUGGCAUAAUGCUCAGUAACACGUGGAUAAUCUACCCUUAGGUGGGGCAUAAACCCGGGAAACUGGGGCUAAUACCCCAUAGAUACAGAACGCUGGAAUGCCUCUGUAUUCAAAGCUCCGGCGCCUAAGGAUGAGUCUGCGGCCUAUCAGGUAGUAGUCAGGGUCACGACCUGACUAGCCAACGACGGGUACGGGGUGUGAGAGCACUUGCCCGGAGAUGGUUUCUGAGACACGAAACCAGGCCCUACGGGGCGCAGCAGGCGCGAAAACUUCGCAAUGCGGGAAACCGUGACGAGGGAACUCCAAGUGUCUAUGCAAUGCAUAGACUGUUUUUCAGCCUAAAUAGCUGUUAGAGUAAGGGGUGGGUAAGACCGGUGCCAGCCGCCGCGGUAACACCGGCACCCCGAGUGGUAGCCACUAUUAUUGGGCCUAAAGCGUUCGUAGCCGGUUUAGUAAAUUCUUGGGUAAAUCGUACAGCUUAACUGUGCGGAUUCCGGGGACACUACUAGACUUGAGACCGGGAGAGAUUAGAGGUACUUGCAGGGGAGCGGUGAAAUGUUGUAAUCCUGCAGGGACCACCAGUGGCGAAGGCGUCUAAUCAUAACGGCUCUGACGGUGAGGAACGAAACCCUGGGGCGCAAACGGGAUUAGAUACCCCGGUAGUCCAGGGCGUAAACGCUGCUGACUUGGUGUUGGAGAUCCUACGAGGGUGUCCAGUGCUGGCGCGAAGGUAUUAAGUCAGCCGCCUGGGGAGUACGGUCGCAAGACUGAAACUUAAAGGAAUUGGCGGGGGAGCACUGCAACGUGUGGAGCGUGCGGUUUAAUUGGAUUCAACGCCGGAAAACUCACCGGGGGCGACGGUUACAUGAAGGCCAAGCUGAUGACUUUGCCUGAUUUUCCGAGAGGUGGUGCAUGGCCGCCGUCAGUUCGUACCGUAAGGCGUUCUGUUAAGUCA